This 253-nucleotide ribosomal RNA is filed under the name uncultured bacterium. RNAcentral's name for it is "partial 16S ribosomal RNA". It matches the Rfam family "Bacterial small subunit ribosomal RNA", at positions 524 to 776 of the family's 1533-position model. The record is from RNAcentral.
UACAGAGGGGGCAAGCGUUAUUCGGAAUUAUUGGGCGUAAAGGGCGCGUAGGCGGUUUUUUAAGUCGGAUGUGCAAUCCCUGGGCUCAACCCAGGAACUGCAUCCGAGACUGGAAGGCUAGAGUACUGGAGAGGGUAACGGAAUUCACGGUGUAGCAGUGAAAUGCGUAGAUAUCGUGAGGAACACCAGAGGCGAAGGCGGUUACCUGGACAGUUACUGACGCUCAGGCACGAAAGCGUGGGGAGCAAAAGGG